CUUGCUUUCUUUGCUGGCGACCGGCGCACGGGUGAGUAACACGUAUCCAUCCUACCCUUUACUCGGGGAUAGCCUUUCGAAAGAAAGAUUAAUACCCGAUAGCAUAAUGAUUCCGCAUGGUUUCAUUAUUAAAGGAUUCCGGUAAAGGAUGGGGAUGCGUUCCAUUAGGUUGUUGGUGAGGUAACGGCUCACCAAGCCUUCGAUGGAUAGGGGUUCUGAGAGGAAGGUCCCCCACAUUGGAACUGAGACACGGUCCAAACUCCUACGGGAGGCAGCAUG
Molecule: ribosomal RNA, 279 nt
Filed under: uncultured bacterium
Lineage: Bacteria
Description: partial 16S ribosomal RNA
Rfam family: Bacterial small subunit ribosomal RNA
Source: RNAcentral